Long non-coding RNA from Rhipicephalus sanguineus (brown dog tick), 2216 nucleotides. RefSeq lists it as uncharacterized. The record is from RefSeq and is a predicted model, not a curated record. NCBI's taxonomy places the organism in Eukaryota, Metazoa, Arthropoda, Arachnida, Ixodida, Ixodidae. The transcript is spliced from 2 exons.
CACACACACACACACACACACACACACACACACACACACACACACACACACACACACACACACACACACACACACACACACACACACACACACACACACACACACACACACACACACACACACACACACACACACACACACACACACACACACGCACGCACGCACGCACCACGAUUUCAACGUUUUAGUCUGUCCGGUAUUCCGCUAUACGCAAAGCAUUUCGUGCGUAUAGCGCAAUUACACUUGUGAACUGCGCAUGCGCGCGCCUUACCGGAAACGCCCGCGAUACGCCCGAAAAACAUGGCCGCACGGCGGCAAGCGGUUGGCAUCCACAUCGAACCUAUCAAGUGGCCGUCGUGAGCUCUAUAGCUCGUUAACUCCGAACUCAUGCUUCUAUUUGCUUUAGAUUAUUGUGCUGAAGGUUCGACAGCGAAGUAUCCGUGCCGAUUCGGCACCUUUUCUGAGAGCCAUACUCAAAUAAUCAAUGCUGUAGGCGAAUCGACGCUUCCGGAAUUUCGGAGGACAUAGAUAACGCAUCUGCUAGAUUUUUUAAAAAUCCUCCAUAACCACUUGAGGUCGGUGGUUUUUAUAUCGCUUAGUUCAAAAGCUAACGCAAGGCGGCGAAUACAGCAAGCAAAAAAGUUAAGUUAGCCAAACAAACAUGCCUUCGCAUUAUCUGAAAUGUUCCAGUCUGAGGCAGUGAUGGCGAGCUCAUUAUUUUCUACGUCGUGCAUACGCAGAUGCGGGAACUAAUAGUUACGUGGGCAUUGUUGGCGUAUUUUGGGCGUACGAUACGCUAAAGCUCGUUUGCGGGCGUUAUUACGCUAUCCGGCACACACUAUACCCACAUCCGGUAUUCCGCUAUGCCUUUUAUAGCGGAAUAUACCGUACAGACGAAAACGUUCUGUUAUAGCUUGCGUGGGACUAGUUGGAAUAACAUGAUAGAAACAGCAAUGUCAUGCAGCGCAAGGCUGAGACCGACAGAACAUGAAACAAACUCAAGACGAUGAGACAUACAGUCCAAAGGGAAACCUUCUAUUGACAAGGGGCCUGGGGUAACCACCCGUCCCGCGACUCGCGGGAAUGUACUGCAUUCAGGCCUGUAUUGUCCCGAAUUCCGCAAGACACACGAAAAUCUUCAAAAAAGUCCCGCAUUUCCCACUUCAUCAUUAUUGUUAUUAUUAGUUCAGCUGCGUACGGUCGCCCUGUUUGAGGACGCGUUAACUGCGAGCACUUUUAAGCUUCAGCGGCGACUAAUGCUUCUGUUAAAGGCAAUCUGUGAGCAAACCCACCCCGAUUUCUACCAGAUCGAGCGAUCAGACCAAGCCGUUGUAGAGGCUAUUCGAUCUGACGAGAAAUACCAAUUCGAGAAAGAAAAAACAAGCGACAUCGACUACUUCGCAGCCUCCUAUCAGCAACGUACAGCUGUUUUUUUAGUAACUAUUUUGCUGUAACUCUUUUAGUAACUAUUUUAGUUUAUAUUAAAAACCUUAAUACUCUUGUUUACGUCUCGUUUGUUCAGAUACGUAUUUGAACUUCAACUUGUACCGGUUACUCUAUUUCCCUUUCUCAAAGAUGACACAAUAUCUGGAGCGAAAAUGUCUCGUCAUUCCUCAUCAUUCUAUGCCGAUGUCAAUCUCGCCUCUCCACGCCGCCGGUCGCUGCCUCCCGGCAGCACACAUUGGGCACACGAUGGGCACGUGUCACUGGUGUAGGUCCGUACUGCGGCCAUCUCCAUCCAGAAGCCAGCAAUCCCCAUCGACAAGAAAUACAGAAAACUCUGCAUCGAUAGCAAGCGGAGGGAUUCGCCGAUGGGGGCGCGUCCCCGCUCCGCCAUGACGGCGAGGUACAGCGGAAUCGCCACGGCGAACAUCGUGAGAAGCAUGUACGCCCGCACCAGAAUCCAGUGCACGUGCACGUGAAACGUAGCACACGUACAACAGCAUCCGUUCUCGCGCGCACUGCCAUCAACGCCAUCCUCGAGCUCGCGGAGCUUCCGCCGAUGGCCGCGCACUCGACGAGGCGCUGGCGAUGACAUUUGCCGUGGACUCUUGUUUGCUUUGCGGUUGUGGACGACCACGGGUGACGGAACCAAACCAAUCGCACCACCCUGCAUUGUGUUUGAGAGGUAAAGGGAUGAACCUGAGGUAGUCAGUCUGUAUACACACAGUCGUCGAGAUGACACGGCUUCCGCACGCGAAAAUCCCCCAAAACAA